RNAcentral lists this ribosomal RNA (1343 nucleotides) under uncultured bacterium. RNAcentral's name for it is "16S ribosomal RNA". It matches the Rfam family "Bacterial small subunit ribosomal RNA", at positions 28 to 1378 of the family's 1533-position model. The record is from RNAcentral.
GACGAACGCUGGCGGCGUGCUUAACACAUGCAAGUCGAACGGAAAGGCCCUGCUUUUGUGGGGUGCUCGAGUGGCGAACGGGUGAGUAACACGUGAGUAACCUGCCCUUGACUUUGGGAUAACUUCAGGAAACUGGGGCUAAUACCGGAUAGGAGCUCCUGCUGCAUGGUGGGGGUUGGAAAGUUUCGGCGGUUGGGGAUGGACUCGCGGCUUAUCAGCUUGUUGGUGGGGUAGUGGCUUACCAAGGCUUUGACGGGUAGCCGGCCUGAGAGGGUGACCGGCCACAUUGGGACUGAGAUACGGCCCAGACUCCUACGGGAGGCAGCAGUGGGGAAUAUUGCACAAUGGGCGGAAGCCUGAUGCAGCAACGCCGCGUGCGGGAUGACGGCCUUCGGGUUGUAAACCGCUUUCGCCUGUGACGAAGCGUGAGUGACGGUAAUGGGUAAAGAAGCACCGGCUAACUACGUGCCAGCAGCCGCGGUGAUACGUAGGGUGCGAGCGUUGUCCGGAUUUAUUGGGCGUAAAGGGCUCGUAGGUGGUUGAUCGCGUCGGAAGUGUAAUCUUGGGGCUUAACCCUGAGCGUGCUUUCGAUACGGGUUGACUUGAGGAAGGUAGGGGAGAAUGGAAUUCCUGGUGGAGCGGUGGAAUGCGCAGAUAUCAGGAGGAACACCAGUGGCGAAGGCGGUUCUCUGGGCCUUUCCUGACGCUGAGGAGCGAAAGCGUGGGGAGCGAACAGGCUUAGAUACCCUGGUAGUCCACGCUGUAAACGGUGGGCACUAGGUGUGGGGUCCAUUCCACGGGUUCCGUGCCGUAGCUAACGCUUUAAGUACCCCGCCUGGGGAGUACGGCCGCAAGGCUAAAACUCAAAGGAAUUGACGGGGCCCCGCACAAGCGGCGGAGCAUGCGGAUUAAUUCGAUGCAACGCGUAGAACCUUACCUGGGUUUGACAUGGAUCGGGAGUGCUCAGAGAUGGGUGUGCCUCUUUUGGGGUCGGUUCACAGGUGGUGCAUGGCUGUCGUCAGCUCGUGUCGUGAGAAGUUGGGUUAAGUCCCGCAACGAGCGCAACCCUUGUUCACUGUUGCCAGCACGUUAUGGUGGGGACUCAGUGGAGACCGCCGGGGUCAACUCGGAGGAAGGUGGGGAUGACGUCAAGUCAUCAUGCCCCUUAUGUCCAGGGCUUCACGCAUGCUACAAUGGCUGGUACAGAGAGUGGCGAGCCUGUGAGGGUGAGCGAAUCCCGGAAAGCCGGUCUCAGUUCGGAUUGGGGUCUGCAACUCGACCUCAUGAAGUCGGAGUCGCUAGUAAUCGCAGAUCAGCAACGCUGCGGUGAAUACGUUCCCGGG